RNAcentral lists this transfer RNA (30 nucleotides) under Chelonia mydas (Green sea turtle). Its description in RNAcentral is "partial tRNA-Pro". The record is from RNAcentral. Lineage: Eukaryota; Metazoa; Chordata; Testudines; Cheloniidae.
UAGUUUAAUUAUAGGAUUCCGGUUUUGGGG